UGCCACCACACCACCCUUGCAAGCUCGCUCUCUCCUCCCAGGCGCUGCUCUGGACUCAUGACUCUGCCCGUCCACUCCAUUAUCCGCUAUUGUACCUUCGAUCAGGUCGCCAUCUACAGCACCAUCACCGAAGGUUCUGCUUAGGCAGAUGAAGGCCGUCGAAGAUCACAAGCGCAGCUUGCUAUUGUACAGGUUUAGAAUCUAGAAAGGCUGAUGAAGGCCGUCGAAGAUCACAAGCGCAGCUUGCUAUUGUACAGGUUUAGAAUCUAGAAAGGUUGUUAAUUCCAAAUCAAUUUGGAAUCCAGUCAAAACUACUCUCAAGGACUGCUCUGAACCUCAAAUAUCGUCGGCCAAAGAAUUUGUGAUAUGUUGAUUGAUGCAACUAUGCUGUACUGUUUCAGUGACUGUUAAAAGUAGACAUAACAGAAGUCUGGCAUUUUAGGUCACGGAAGUCUGGCAUCCUUUGUACACGAUCCUUUGUACACUAAUAUGAGGCGUUUUAGGUCACGGAA
Non-coding RNA from Aegilops tauschii subsp. strangulata, 512 nucleotides. The record is from RefSeq and is a predicted model, not a curated record. NCBI's taxonomy places the organism in Eukaryota, Viridiplantae, Streptophyta, Magnoliopsida, Poales, Poaceae.